This 384-nucleotide unclassified non-coding RNA is filed under the name Ficus faulkneriana. RNAcentral's name for it is "partial contains external transcribed spacer and 18S ribosomal RNA". The record is from RNAcentral. Lineage: Eukaryota; Viridiplantae; Streptophyta; Magnoliopsida; Rosales; Moraceae.
CACAUGCAUGGCUUAAUCUUUGAGACAAGCAUAUGACUACUGGCAGGAUCAACCAGGUAGCAUCCUUUCUCGACUUCGGACCCGCAUUGAUGCAACGGGCCUAGACGGCCCGCGAUCAAUGAGGUAUCGAAAGUCAUUCCUAUCGAGGGACUUGAAUGGGAGCAACCGGAGGCCGAGACCCCCCAUGUCCGCUUAAUUUUCCACAUCCGAGAGCGCGAGCAAUCGUCCUGUGGACCGAGACAGCCAAGACAACAGUCAGAGGAUGUGCCCGGGACGCAGGCACUGCUUUUGAGGUCCACUUUGCAGCCGCAGGAGCCACAAAGGGGAAAGGGGCGGGGCUAUCUCACGAAAUUUUCCAUCUGACGGGAAGGCAACACAGGAACC